ACAGCGUCGUCGACAUGCAGUCCAUUUUAGCCAAAAAAAAAACCGCGGACAGCAUUUACUCAAGAUAGACAGCACGACAGUCGUCUCGUUCGUCGCCGGCACUUGCGCGUGGUCCAAGGCAAGACGACUAGUUGCCGAGGCGUUGUAGGAGUUGCUGCGGCUCUCCGACGGAGGCGUGGAUCCGCUGCGCGCGGUCGCUGGAAUUCAUUUUGCCGCCAAAGGUCAGGCGGCGGCGGCGGCGGCGGUGUGAGAUUUGCUCAAGGCGGUAAACCAAUUUUUGAUUUUGCCCGAUUCUCGAUUCAUGUCCUUGUUGUUCAAAAAAAUAUUUAGCAUCAGACUAGAUGUUCAAGAAAUGUUCAAUUUAUUGAGUGUACUAAACCUAGAUGUUGUUUAGCAAAGAAAUUGUUUCAAAAAAAAUGCAAGAUCUCCAAUGGCCAGUAAAUUGUUUCCUUACCAUCAGUAUAUUGUUCUUUCAACAUGCAGAAAUUGAGUGGAUCAGAUACCCAGUUCAGAUUAUUCAGAUUAAGUUUUUGCCACUUAACCUGGAUUAUAUGCUCCAAUUAUAUUGAUUUGUGAAGAUAAGUUGUUGCCUAUCUCCACUUCAAGAGAGAGGAUACAUGCAUGCACUCUACUUUGUUGUCUUUGAAUAAUGAAUUGUUCAGAACUAUCUCAUCCAUCAUGUUAUGCGUAUUCAGCAUGUAAAUAAAUUAUACAGGAUUUGUGUAGUUUGCCUUCUUGACCUUUGAUGUUCAUGAUAGGAACUGGUGCUUCUACCAACGAUUGCCAAUUGUGAUGCUAGUACUCAGUUACAAAAAUCUCCAAAAGUUACUGCAUCAUCUUUGUGAUGCUUCUACAAAAAUGGAUCAGGCAGCUUACUUAUUGAACUGCACAUCUUGGUUUCAUUCCUGUUCAGUUACUGCAAAACACUACAAAAGUUACUAAAUUGUUUGCAAGUAUUUGUCCUAAUUGCCUUAGCAAUUAUAGGAGGACAAUUUAACUAUUAUUAUUUCAGCUUGUCACAUCAACUUGUUAGUAUCUUGUUUCUGAAAUCUAAAAUGUCAGUUAGUAUCUUGUUUCUGAAAUCUGAAAUGUCAGUUAGUAUCUUAUUUCUGAAAUCUGAAAUGUAGUUUCUGAAAUCUGAAAUCUGAAAUGUCAAUUAGUAUCUUUUUUCCUCUCAGUUAGUAUCUUGGCAGUUAAAUUUGAAACCUGAAAUCUGAAAAUCUUAUUUCUGAAAUCUGAAAGGAAUGUAGUUUCUGAAAUCAUAUUUGCUGCUUAAUAUCAGAUUUAUAUGUUCUGAUUUCUCCCAUGGCUUUGAUUUUCAGCUAGCACUAGAAGGAAGCCUACUGCUCCUCCAUUUGUGAACUGAAAAGGUAGUGUGAGUUGAGAAGACAGAUUGUUUGCUGAGAUUUAAGGUAACUUUCUUCGAAGUGUUGGAGGUUGAUCGGUUGCUGUGGAGUGUGAACUGAAGUGGUGCACGUCUUUUGACAUUUUUGAAACCUGUUUAGCAGAUUGUUUGCAUGGCUUUGGUUCCUGUCAAAUCUGAACCGUCAAUUGUCACUUUUAUUGCUAGUGUAAACUGAAAUGGUCCUUUCUUUUCAAUUCAAGAGUGAAAUGGUGCCUGCAUGUAUUCAAGUGUGAAUUGAAAUGGUGCCUGCAUGUAUUCUAUUGUGAAUUGAAACAGUGACUUGCCGUA
Molecule: long non-coding RNA, 1693 nt
Organism: Panicum virgatum (switchgrass)
Lineage: Eukaryota; Viridiplantae; Streptophyta; Magnoliopsida; Poales; Poaceae
Exons: 3
Source: RefSeq, a predicted model, not a curated record